GUAUAACCGUUAUACUGGGAAACUGCGAAUGGCUCAUUAAAUCAGUUAUAGUUUAUUUGAUGGUACCUUACUACUCGGAUAACCGUAGUAAUUCUAGAGCUAAUACGUGCGUAAAUCCCGACUUCGGAAGGGACGUAUUUAUUAGAUUAAAGACCAACCCUUCGGGACCGUUGGUGAUUCAUAAUAACUGGACGAAUCGCAUGGGCUUGCCCCGGCGAUGUUUCAUUCAAAUUUCUGCCCUAUCACGUUUCGAUGGUAGUAUAGAGGACUACCAUGCGAGUAACGGGUGACGGAGAAUUAGGGUUCGAUUCCGGAGAGGGAGCCUGAGAAACGGCUACCACAUCCAAGGAAGGCAGCAGGCGCGCAAACUACCCAAUCCUGACACAGGGAGGUAGUGACAAUAAAUAACAAUACCGGGCUUUUUCAAGUCUGGUAAUUGGAAUGAGAACAAUCUAAAUCCCUUAUCGAGGAUCAAUUGGAGGGCAAGUCUGGUGCCAGCAGCCGCGGUAAUUCCAGCUCCAAUAGCGUAUAUUUAAGUUGUUGCAGUUAAAAAGCUCGUAGUUGGAUUUCGGGCGUGGAAGUUCGGUCCGCCGUUUCGGUGUGCACUGUUGUUCUGCGUCUUUCUGCCGGGGACGCGCUUCUGGCCUUAAUUGGCUGGGACGUGGAUUCGGCGUGGUUACUUUGAAAAAAUUAGAGUGUUCAAAGCAAGCUAAAGCUCUGAAUACAUUAGCAUGGAAUAACGCGAGAGGACUCGGUCCUUAUUUUGUUGGUCUUCAAGGAUGGAGUAAUGAUUAAGAGGGACGGUUGGGGGCAUUCGUAUUUCAUUGUCAGAGGUGAAAUUCUUGGAUUUAUGAAAGACGAACUACUGCGAAAGCUUCUGCCAAAGACGUUUUCAUUGAU
This 900-nucleotide ribosomal RNA is filed under the name uncultured Pycnococcaceae. Its description in RNAcentral is "SSU rRNA". It matches the Rfam family "Eukaryotic small subunit ribosomal RNA", at positions 63 to 977 of the family's 1831-position model. The record is from RNAcentral. Lineage: Eukaryota; Viridiplantae; Chlorophyta; Pseudoscourfieldiophyceae; Pseudoscourfieldiales; Pycnococcaceae.